AGUGAACGCUGGCGGUAGGCCUAACACAUGCAAGUCGAACGGCAGCACAGUAAGAUCUUGCUCUUACGGGUGGCGAGUGGCGGACGGGUGACGAAUACAUCGGAAUCUACUUUUUCGUGGGGGAUAACGUAGGGAAACUUACGCUAAUACCGCAUACGUUCUACGGGUGAAAGCAGGGGAUCUUCGGACCUUUCGCGAUUCAUUGAGCCGGUUUCGGAUUAGCUAGUUGGCGGGGUAAAGGCCCACCAAGGCGACGAUACGUAGCUGGUCUGAGAGGAUGAUCAGCCACACUGGAACUGAGACACGGUCCAGACUCCUACGGGAGGCAGCAGUGGGGAAUAUUGGGCAAUGGGCGCAAGCCUGACCCAGCCAUGCCGCGUGAGUGAAGAAGGCCUUCGGGUUGUAAAGCCCUUUUAUUGGGAAAGAAAAGCAGCGGGAUUAUACCCCGCUGUCCUGACGGUACCCAAAGAGUAAGCACCGGCUAACUUCGUG
Molecule: ribosomal RNA, 492 nt
Filed under: uncultured bacterium
Lineage: Bacteria
Description: partial 16S ribosomal RNA
Rfam family: Bacterial small subunit ribosomal RNA
Source: RNAcentral